RNAcentral lists this ribosomal RNA (251 nucleotides) under uncultured bacterium. RNAcentral describes it as "partial 16S ribosomal RNA". It matches the Rfam family "Bacterial small subunit ribosomal RNA", at positions 524 to 776 of the family's 1533-position model. The record is from RNAcentral.
UACGAAGGGGGCUAGCGUUGCUCGGAAUCACUGGGCGUAAAGCGCACGUAGGCGGCUUUCUAAGUCAGGGGUGAAAUCCUGGAGCUCAACUCCAGAACUGCCUUUGAUACUGAGAGCUUGAGUCCGGGAGAGGUGAGUGGAACUCGAGUGUAGAGGUGAAAUUCGUAGAUAUUCGCAAGAACACCAGUGGCGAAGGCGGCUCACUGGCCCGAUACUGACGCUGAGGCACGAAAGCGUGGGGAGCAAACAGG